RNAcentral lists this transfer RNA (71 nucleotides) under Stegodyphus mimosarum. It matches the Rfam family "tRNA". Rfam says of the family: Transfer RNA (tRNA) molecules are approximately 80 nucleotides in length. Lineage: Eukaryota; Metazoa; Arthropoda; Arachnida; Araneae; Eresidae. The record is from Rfam by way of RNAcentral.
GCAUACGUGGUGUAGUGGUCAACACACUCGGUGUAACCGAGAGGUCUAUGGUUCGAUUCCCGGCAAAGGCA